RNAcentral lists this ribosomal RNA (424 nucleotides) under uncultured bacterium. RNAcentral describes it as "partial 16S ribosomal RNA". It matches the Rfam family "Bacterial small subunit ribosomal RNA", at positions 360 to 776 of the family's 1533-position model. The record is from RNAcentral.
AAUAUUGGACAAUGGGCGAAAGCCUGAUCCAGCCAUGCCGCGUGUGUGAAGAAGGUCUUCGGAUUGUAAAGCACUUGAAGUUGGGAGGAAGGGUUGUCGGUUAAUACGCUGCAAUUUUGACGUUACUAACAGAAUAGGCACUGGCUAACUUCGUGCCAUCAGCCGCGGUAAUAGGAAGGGUGCAAUCGUUAAUCGGAAUUACUGGGCGUAAAGCGCGCGUAGGUGGUUCGUUAAGUUGGAAGUGAAAGCCCCGGGCUUAACCUGGGAAUUGCUUUCAAAACUGACGAGCUAGAGUACGGUAGAGGGUAGUGGAAUUUCCUGUGUAGCGGUGAAAUGCGUAGAUAUAGGAAGGAACAUCAGUGGCGAAGGCGACUACCUGGACUGAUACUGACACUGAGGUGCGAAAGCGUGGGGAGCAAACAGG